RNAcentral lists this small nuclear RNA (109 nucleotides) under Microcebus murinus (gray mouse lemur). Lineage: Eukaryota; Metazoa; Chordata; Mammalia; Primates; Cheirogaleidae. The record is from RNAcentral.
AUUCUUACAUCAUACAUAGCAUGUAUACUAAAAUUGGAAUGAUACAGAGAAGAUUAGCAUUGCCCCGUGCAAGAACAGCACACAAAUUCAUGAAGUGUUCCGUUUUAAA